GACGAACGCUGGCGGCGUGCUUAACACAUGCAAGUCGAACGGAAAGGCCCUGCUUUUGUGGGGUGCUCGAGUGGCGAACGGGUGAGUAACACGUGAGUAACCUGCCCUUGACUUUGGGAUAACUUCAGGAAACUGGGGCUAAUACCGGAUAGGAGCUCCUGCUGCAUGGUGGGGGUUGGAAAGUUUCGGCGGUUGGGGAUGGACUCGCGGCUUAUCAGCUUGUUGGUGGGGUAGUGGCUUACCAAGGCUUUGACGGGUAGCCGGCCUGAGAGGGUGACCGGCCACAUUGGGACGGAGAUACGGCCAAGACUCCUACGGGAGGCAGAAGUGGGGAAUAUUGCACAAUGGGCGGAAGCCUGAUGCAGCAACGCCGCGUGCGGGAUGACGGCCUUCGGGUUGUAAACCGCUUUCGCCUGUGACGAAGCGUGAGUGACGGUAAUGGGUAAAGAAGCACCGGCUAACUACGUG
RNAcentral lists this ribosomal RNA (468 nucleotides) under uncultured bacterium. RNAcentral describes it as "partial 16S ribosomal RNA". It matches the Rfam family "Bacterial small subunit ribosomal RNA", at positions 28 to 507 of the family's 1533-position model. The record is from RNAcentral.